Rhinopithecus roxellana (golden snub-nosed monkey) is the source of this 316-nucleotide RNA transcript. It is a transcript of the gene named ubiquitin-fold modifier 1 pseudogene, with no coding region annotated. NCBI's taxonomy places the organism in Eukaryota, Metazoa, Chordata, Mammalia, Primates, Cercopithecidae. The record is from RefSeq and is a predicted model, not a curated record. The transcript has a single exon.
UUCUAGAUUCAUCCUGGCACCACCAUGUCGAAGGUUUCCUUUAAGAUCACGCUGACGUCGGACCCACGGCUGCCGUACAAAGUACUCAGUGUUCCUGAAAGUACACCUUUCACAGCAGUCUUAAAGUUUGCAGCAGAAGAAUUUAAAGUUCCUGCUGCAACAAGUGCAAUUAUUACCAAUGAUGGAAUAGGAAUAAAUCCUGCACAGACUGCUGGAAAUGUUUUUCUAAAACAUGGUUCAGAACUGCGGAUUAUUCCUAGAGAUUGCGUUGGAAGUUGUUAAUAUCUGCUACUUGGAACAUAAGAUUACCUUUCAG